This 1150-nucleotide long non-coding RNA is filed under the name Canis lupus familiaris (dog). Its description in RNAcentral is "lncRNA (ENSCAFG00000050738.1)". Lineage: Eukaryota; Metazoa; Chordata; Mammalia; Carnivora; Canidae. The record is from RNAcentral.
GUAAAGCCCUAUAUUCUUAUUUUCUGCUCUCAGGCCCACUCGAUUCUGUUUAAGCACUUUGAUUGGUUGAAUGGGGUCCGGUGCGAUUUUAGUGCCGCGGCUUCAGAAGCCACUGGCAGGCUCCCAGCCUUGCGACCAGGGCACCCAUCUCGCGCCCCAGGAUGUGGGCGCCAGCGGCCCUCCUGGGCCCGCCGGACCUCCCCGCCUCCGCGGGCUUCGGGGCCUCGAGGCUGCUGCUGCACCGCCGGCAUCCGAGUGACCUCUCCAGCGAUCCCUCUGCCUGCCUUUGUGGUUUCCAAUUCAGAGUCUGGGGCUGAGGGGCCGGGUGCGGGUCAAGUGACCCCGUUCUGCUCCGGAGGGGGCUGGGCUGGGAGCUGGGAGCUGACCCGUCCCACUCGUCCCACUCACACGGUUCCCCUAGGACCUGGGGAACUCCGCGAACAAAAGCAGGUGGGAUUUGAGGCUCGAUGCUGAGCAGAUUAAAGUUUUAAAAAAGGUUGACCCUGCCACCCCCGUAGGACCGCAGGCUCAUUAGCAAUCUGUUCUCAAAAUCUGAGGCAGCUGCCACGAAGGAUUUGUGAGCCUGUAGUUAGGAGCACUCGUCCCCUACGUCCCCGAGGCCACCCGGAUUGUUCCAGCAGGUCGGUUCCGGCCCCCGGGGUUCUCCUGCGGCCCAGUUCUCCCCAGCGAAGCGAUGGAGACAACAAGGGAAAGAAGAUGCCCCCGCUCAGCGCUCCCUGGCCUGGGCUCCAGACUCCACCGAGGAGGGUGGCUGCGACUGGAGGACUCUCGGGCACCCCUCGAGUGACACCUGACGUCGUGUUCACCCCGGCAGGUUGGGGGCCCUGGGCUCCCUCCCUUCCCCGAGGGCGCGGCCCGUGGCCUGCAGCCUUCCCCUCCUCGGGCCUAGAAAGGGAAAUCUAGACUUUAGAGCCCCGUUUCCCCGUGUUUCUUUUCUAAUAUUUUCUUCUGACUGACAUGUGUGAAUUCAGGAGAGCCCAAGAGGAACAGGCCAUUCUUGGAUUUAAGGGGCUGGUGCUCGGGGAGCACAGCGCGGUGUCGUCCCAAGCCUCUUUAGGACGCUUGGCGGUGGCCGGACAGACGGGCUGAGGAACCGCUCAUCUCAGUAAGUUCCGUCUCUUCCUGAGUU